Long non-coding RNA from Oxyura jamaicensis (ruddy duck), 398 nucleotides. RefSeq lists it as uncharacterized. Lineage: Eukaryota; Metazoa; Chordata; Aves; Anseriformes; Anatidae. The transcript is spliced from 3 exons. The record is from RefSeq and is a predicted model, not a curated record.
GUCACACUGCACUGAGGGAACAGAAGAUUGGCCAAGCCCUGGAUGAUCUGCUCUCCAGGCUUUGUCCCCUGGCCAACCAGCCUGGUAUUGCUGUUGUCCUGCUUGCUUUUGGAAUUAAUAAGGCUUUUCCUCAACUCUGGGACAGCUCAAUUUCUUGCAUUAGAGAGCACUUCAACUCCUGUAAAGGAAGUGAAUUUAAGAUGACACCUAAAUGAAAGGUUCUGUCUUUCAUGUUACACUGAGGAUUGGAGGUUUGUGAGGGGAAGAGUGACUCUGAACAUUGAAUGAGAAUUACUGAGCCACGUACACAGAGGCUGUUUCUAUUUUGAUGUUGACCUUUUGUGUUGAGAACAUCAAUCAGAGACCUUAAAAAAUGGAUUCAUAAUUGCACUUUUCAG